Molecule: ribosomal RNA, 305 nt
Filed under: uncultured bacterium
Lineage: Bacteria
Description: bacterial SSU rRNA
Rfam family: Bacterial small subunit ribosomal RNA
Source: RNAcentral
CUGUGCCUACGGGACGCAGCAGUGAGGAAUAUUGGUCAAUGGGCUUACGCCUGAACCAGCCAAGUCGCGUGAGGGAAGACUGCCCUAUGGGUUGUAAACCUCUUUUGUCAGGGAGCAACGCCGGCUACGUGUAGCCGGACUGAGAGUACCUGAAGAAAAAGCAUCGGCUAACUCCGUGCCAGCAGCCGCGGUAAUACGGAGGAUGCGAGCGUUAUCCGGAUUUAUUGGGUUUAAAGGGUGCGUAGGCGGAAUGCCAAGUCAGCGGUAAAAUCGCGGGGCUCAACCUCGUAUCGCAAUUGAAACUG